UAGGGAAUCUUCCGCAAUGGACGCAAGUCUGACGGAGCAACGCCGCGUGAGUGAAGAAGGAUUUCGGUUCGUAAAACUCUGUUGUUAGAGAAGAACAGCGCAUAGAGUAACUGUUAUGCGUGUGACGGUAUCUAACCAGAAAGCCACGGCUAACUACGUGCCAGCAGCCGCGGUAAUACGUAGGUGGCAAGCGUUGUCCGGAUUUAUUGGGCGUAAAGCGAGCGCAGGCGGUCAAUUAAGUCUGAUGUGAAAGCCCCCGGCUCAACCGGGGAGGGUCAUUUGAAACUGGUUGACUUGAGUGCAGAAGAGGAGAGUGGAAUUCCAUGUGUAGCGGUGAAAUGCGUAGAUAUAUGGAGGCACACCAGUGGCGAAGGCGCCUCUCUGGUCUGUAACUGACGCUGAGGCUCGAAAGCGUGGGUAGCAAACAGG
Molecule: ribosomal RNA, 429 nt
Filed under: Bacteroidota bacterium
Lineage: Bacteria; Pseudomonadati; Bacteroidota
Description: Bacteroidetes bacterium partial 16S ribosomal RNA
Rfam family: Bacterial small subunit ribosomal RNA
Source: RNAcentral